This 480-nucleotide ribosomal RNA is filed under the name uncultured bacterium. RNAcentral's name for it is "partial 16S ribosomal RNA". It matches the Rfam family "Bacterial small subunit ribosomal RNA", at positions 28 to 523 of the family's 1533-position model. The record is from RNAcentral.
GACGAACGCUGGCGGCGUGCUUAACACAUGCAAGUCGAACGAUGAAGUUCCUUCGGGAAUGGAUUAGUGGCGAACGGGUGAGGAACACGUGAGAAACCUGCCUUUCAUUUUGGGAUAACUCCGGGAAACCGGGGCUAAAACCGAAUACUCCGUCUCGGCGGCAUCGCUGAGCUGGGAAAAAAUUUUGAUGAAAGAUGGUCUCGCGGCCUAGCAGCUAGUUGGGGAGGUAAUGGCUCACCAAGGCAACGACGGGUAGCCGGCCUGUGAGGGCGACCGGCCACACUGGGACUGAGACACGGCCCAGACUCCUACGGGAGGCAGCAGUGGGGAAUAUUGGGCAAUGGGCGCAAGCCUGACCCAGCGACGCCGCGUGAGGGAUGAAGGCCUUCGGGUUGUAAACCUCUUUCAGUAGGGAAGAAGCGAAAGUGACGGUACCUAAAGAAGAAGCACCGGCUAACUAUGUGCCAGCCGCCGCCGUAA